CCUACGGGGGACAGCAGUGGGGAAUAUUGCACAAUGGGGGAAACCCUGAUGCAGCGACGCCGCGUGAGUGAAGAAGUAUUUCGGUAUGUAAAGCUCUAUCAGCAGGGAAGAAAAUGAUGGUACCUGCGUACGAAGAACCGGCUAACUACGUGCCAGCAGCCGCGGUAAUACGUAGGGGGCAAGCGUUAUCCGGAUUUACUGGGUGUAAUGGGAGCGUAGACGGCAGUGCAGGUCUGGAGUGAAAGGCGGGGGCUCAACCCCCGGACUGCUCUGGAAACUGUACGGCUGGAGUGCAGGAGAGGUAAGUGGAAUUCCUAGUGUAGCGGUGAAAUGCGUAGAUAUUAGGAGGAACACCAGUGGCGAAGGCGGCUUACUGGACUGUAACUGACGUUGAGGCUCGAAAGCGUGGGGAGCAAACAGGAUUAGAUACCCCUGUAGUC
Molecule: ribosomal RNA, 440 nt
Filed under: uncultured bacterium
Lineage: Bacteria
Description: partial 16S ribosomal RNA
Rfam family: Bacterial small subunit ribosomal RNA
Source: RNAcentral